AAGUAAAUUUUACUCAAUGGAGCAUGUAAAAAUUUCAUACACCCAGCGAAGCGGGUGAGGGCGAUCUAGUUGAAUAUAAGUCUUCCAUAAAAAUGCGAAAUACAAUAUUGUCAGCGAAAACAUAUGUAUGUAUGUAUAUUGAAGUCAUGAACUAAAAAGGCUAUUUCUCGUUUACCUAGUACAGAAAAUUCUGAAGUACAAUUUCGCGCUGCAUUCAGGAUCCAUAAAAAACGUUAUCUUAAAAAAACCCAUCACUAAACAAAACUACGUAAUUUGGAUUACUCAGUAUUCGAUUUAAUCCAAUAUUCUACUUUCAAUUGAAUGACUGACUUAAUUCUAGUUCUUUUGUUUUAAGAAAUCACCAUUUAUGUUCAAAUUA
Molecule: long non-coding RNA, 379 nt
Organism: Rhagoletis pomonella (apple maggot)
Lineage: Eukaryota; Metazoa; Arthropoda; Insecta; Diptera; Tephritidae
Exons: 2
Source: RefSeq, a predicted model, not a curated record